RNAcentral lists this ribosomal RNA (468 nucleotides) under uncultured bacterium. RNAcentral describes it as "partial 16S ribosomal RNA". It matches the Rfam family "Bacterial small subunit ribosomal RNA", at positions 28 to 506 of the family's 1533-position model. The record is from RNAcentral.
GACGAACGCUGGCGGCGUGCUUAACACAUGCAAGUCGAACGGAAAGGCCCUGCUUUUGUGGGGUGCUCGAGUGGCGAACGGGUGAGUAACACGUGAGUAACCUGCCCUUGACUUUGGGAUAACUUCAGGAAACUGGGGCUAAUACCGGAUAGGAGCUCCUGCUGCAUGGUGGGGGUUGGAAAGUUUCGGCGGUUGGGGAUGGACUCGCGGCUUAUCAGCUUGUUGGUUGGGUAGUGGCUUACCAAGGCUUUGACGGGUAGCCGGCCUGAGAGGGUGACCGGGCACAAUGGGGCCUGAGUACCGGCCAAGCUCCUUCGGGGAGGAAGAGUGGGGGAAUUUGGACCAUGGGGCGGAACCCUGAGCAAGAACGGCGGGGUGCGGAAGGACGCCUUCCGGGUGGAAACCCGUUUCGGCUUGUGCGGAAGCGUGAGUGACGGAAUGGGUAAAGGAAGAACCGCUAAAUUACGU